CCCCUAGAUGUUCUGGGCCGCACGCGCGCUACACUGAACAGUUCAACAAGUCUUAACCUCGGCCGAUAGGUCUGGGUAAUCUUUGAACGCUGUUCGUGAUUGGGAUAGACCUUUGCAAUUAUGGGUCUUCAACGAGGAAUUCCUAGUAAACGCAAGUCAUCAGCUUGCAUUGAUUACGUCCCUGCCCUUUGUACACACCGCCCGUCGCACCUACCGAUUGAAUGGUCCGGUGAAAUCUCGGGACGGCGGCUUGGUCGCUUGCGUCCGACUGCUGAAACUUGAUUAAACCAUAUCAUUUAGAGGAAGGUGAAGUCGUANCA
This 320-nucleotide ribosomal RNA is filed under the name uncultured eukaryote. RNAcentral describes it as "partial 18S ribosomal RNA". It matches the Rfam family "Eukaryotic small subunit ribosomal RNA", at positions 1470 to 1796 of the family's 1831-position model. The record is from RNAcentral.